RNAcentral lists this ribosomal RNA (880 nucleotides) under uncultured bacterium. RNAcentral describes it as "bacterial SSU rRNA". It matches the Rfam family "Bacterial small subunit ribosomal RNA", at positions 21 to 916 of the family's 1533-position model. The record is from RNAcentral.
GGCUCAGGAUGAACGCUGGCGGCGUGCCUAAUACAUGCAAGUCGAACGGAAUAUAUGAGCAAUCGUAUAUUUAGUGGCGAACGGGUGAGUAACGCGUUGGUGACCUGCCCCGAAGCGGGGGACAACAGCUCGAAAGGGCUGCUAAUACCCCAUACAGUUGCGAGAGAUUAGAAACUUGCAACGAAAGGAGUAAUCCACUUUGGGAGGGGCCUGCGUCCCAUCAGCUAGUUGGUAGGGUAACGGCCUACCAAGGCGUAGACGGGUAGGGGACCUGAGAGGGUGGCCCCCCACAAUGGAACUGAAACACGGUCCAUACACCUACGGGUGGCAGCAGUAGGGAAUAUUGCACCAUGGGCGAAAGCCUGAUGCAGCAACGCCGCGUGAGUGAAGAAGGCCUUCGGGUCGUAAAACUCUUUUCAAGGGAAAGAGGAAGGACGGUACCCUUGGAAUAAGCAUCGGCUAACUACGUGCCAGCAGCCGCGGUAACACGUAGGAUGCGAGCGUUAUUCGGAUUUACUGGGCGUAAAGCGCGUGUAGGCGGUUAGGAGAGUUGGAUGUGAAAGCUCCCGGCUUAACUGGGAGAGGUCGUUCAAAACUUCCUGACUAGAGUUUGGUAGAGGAAAAUGGAAUUCCGGGUGUAGUGGUGAAAUGCGUAGAUAUCCGGAGGAACACCAGUGGCGAAAGCGAUUUUCUGGACCGAUACUGACGCUCAGACGCGAAAGCUAGGGUAGCAAACGGGAUUAGAGACCCCGGUAGUCCUAGCUGUAAACGAUGUAGACUUGGCGUUGGGAGAGUAAAAUCAUCCAGUGCCGAAGCAAACGCGAUAAGUCUACCGCCUGGGGAGUACGGCCGCAAGGUUAAAACUCAAAUGAAUUGACGG